Molecule: long non-coding RNA, 2846 nt
Filed under: Homo sapiens (human)
Lineage: Eukaryota; Metazoa; Chordata; Mammalia; Primates; Hominidae
Description: HSALNT0206037
Source: RNAcentral
UCGCAAGACCUGGUUGUUUAAAAGUGGGCGGCACCUUCCCCUUCGCUCUUCCUCCUGCUCCUGCCCUGGUGUGUCUGGAUGGUGACAGAUGGGAAUCUUCUCCAGUGACCAGAAUCCAUGCCUUACCUUGGGAGCCCAAGGUGACUUCUCAAGCUCUGGGGAUGCCUCAGUGAUCUCUGAUGUGGAAUUAGUGGAGGCUGGCCGUUGCUCACCUCUACACAGCCUGCUGGUCGUUAGCGAGCAGGAGUUCUGAUGUUCCUCUCAUCUUGGAUGGCUUUCCUAGGAGAAUAUUUCUCACGUGUUUGACAGAAAACAUUAUCUGUCCAUCAUUUCCAUGGAUUCCUGGGUCUCACGGGCAGAAGGACAAGGCAGAUAUGAGGCGGAUCUGGUAAAGCCAUAAACACCAUGAGAUCAGAGCAUCCAUCUGUAGACUCACAGAGCAAGAAGCGUGACUGCCCCAAUCUUGAAUGGAUGAGUAAGAUGAAAAUCAAUUUAUAAACAUCUUGUGACAAGCUGGAAUUCAGUUAUAGAUCAAUUACAGAUUGCUCACUGGACAAUCAAGGACAUUAUUAGAAAACGGUUUCCACCACUAGAAAUUCAUCUACAUUGACAUCCACCUAAAUAUCCAGAAGGUCAUCCCCACUUUCGUCGCUCUCCACAGUCAGCUGCCGGGUCCACCACUUCUUAACUUCAGAACCGCAGGAAGCCGCGUCAGUCAUGGGGUUCAUUUUGCACACGACAGAUUUCAUGGUUGUCCUUCCUCCAAACCGAGGAACCUAGAUCUUCUCUGAUCUCUGAAAAAUAAGUUCCUGGAUAUGAAAGGGGAUACUUUCCUUGGUGGUAGUCCCAGUGAAGACCCACUGAACAUCGUCAGCCUCAAAAUGUAAGCUGUGCUGUCAUCUGCUUUGUGGAACACAUAUGCUACACAUCUUCUCCUUUCAAUUGGGCUGAAGUUGGGGCACAGUUAAAGAGCAUUAUAAAGCUCCUGCUUUAGCAUGAACUUAGUUAUCUAUAGAAAAAAACAUGUACAAGGACACUGGGCUGUGGGGAGCAUUGCUCUCCCUCCAUUCCUGAGUGCUCUUAAUGGGAUUAUCCUGGCUUUCCAAAACCCUAUAGAGAAGAAGCUCAUAGAAGAAAAUUCUCUUACUGAAUCAGUAAAAUAUGGAAAAUAAUGGGACUGUUUAUUAAAGGAUUGAAUGAGAGAACACAAGUAAUGCACUUAGAAGAGUGACUGGCAUACAGUGAGUACUACGUGCUGGCUUCUCAACCAUGAUAGCCUGAAAUGUACCCGGAAAAUGGGGGCUAAUGUAAGUCAUAUUUAGAGAAGUUAUUUUGGGGGACAAUGUUUUUGACAAGACUACAUUUUUCAUUAUGUUGCUGUCUGUAAACAACUGUAGAUGCAGACUUGCAUUUUGAAAGGCAAGACCCAAAACACACAAACAGAGUAAAUACCUUUAAAAUGCCUCGAUCGCUGGAGAAAUGCCUGGAUGGACCUACCUGAGGGCAGACGCCACUGCCCAAAUUUCCUCUGGGGUUUCCCUGCGUCGGCUGCAUCUUGCCGACUUCCUCCUCGAUCCGACAGCGUGGGGCUCAGGAGCUGCUGCUGGCUGCUUGUCUGCAUGGGAGGAGAAGCACACAGUUACCGUCUUUUUAACCCUGCGCUCUCCUCCUUUUACUAUAAGAAAGGAAAACACAUGGCAGGAGGACAAGUGGGAAGAACAACAUGGACUCAGAGUGUCCACAAUGGGGAAAAGUGAAAAUGGGUAUAAAGGGUCACAGAAGAAAAAGAGCCACCACUGCACGCCCUGCUGAAGGAGACACCACUCUUCCUGGGACAUCUUGUCCUGGGUAACCCCCACUGCUUCGUUCCCCUCCAUGCCUGAGAAUGUCAUUGUUUCCCUUCAUAUCUUCGCUGGCAAACCAGGGGGUAAGGAAGGGGAACUGCAGGAAGGAAGGUGGGGCAGUGGGGACGGGCUGGGCGGGGGCAGUCUACUGUCACCAGCCUGGAGAUCCACACUUAGAGCUUCAGGGAAAGAGUUCUCUGCAGGCAAAGCUGUAUGAUGGGCCCUGGUGGAGGAUGGAGCUGAUAACAAUCUAAGCUACAGUGAAAGAAAGAGAGAUGCCAAGACUUCCCACACAUUUCACCUGUUCUCAGGUUCACCUGUCACCUCUCCCUUUCCUAACAAAAGCCUUGGUCUUCACAUCUCUUUAGUAUCCUUUUUUUUUUUUUUUUGUCACCUCUUUCUUUCUUAGGCUUUUUCAUCUAAAAACAGAGGGCUCUGAAAUCAUCACUUUCCCCAACCUCAUUAGCCCUGUCUCACUGUCUGUCCUGACUUCAGCCUGCCUCCCUCUCCCAUGCGAGACAUUGCCAACCAUCUUCAGGGUGACCAGUGGCAAGGCCACUGCAGAUGCCUCCCCUUGCCCCUUGGUUGACUAACUCCGCAGAAGUCCCUGCAGUCGGUGGCAGAUGAUUUCUAAAGGCUGGGGAGCCCAAAACAUGAGAUCUACUGAAAACUGAGCUAUGGCACCAGUGGGCCUCCUGGAGCACCCUGCUGGGCCGUGGAGCCUUAGGCUUCCAAAGGUACUCUGGCCCCUGGCUGCGUUGCUGCACACCAUGGAGCCUGGUGCUGCUGGGGGCUCUGCACAGAGCACGGGAUCAGCUCCACGUUGUUAACCUCAAAUCGUAAUUGCUGCCUCAUAAAGGGGCAGGUCCUCCCAGCCAGCUGCUUCUCACAGCACAGGACUCUCCAGGACGCUGAUAACUCCUUGUACUUUUUUAUAUAGACACAUACAUAGAGUUUGAAAAUGAAAAUAUGCUGUGACUUAAUAAAUAGAAACUCCUCAAG